RNAcentral lists this long non-coding RNA (815 nucleotides) under Gallus gallus (chicken). Its description in RNAcentral is "long non-coding RNA NONGGAT005485". Lineage: Eukaryota; Metazoa; Chordata; Aves; Galliformes; Phasianidae. The record is from RNAcentral.
CUCCAAAUGCUCCCCCAUAGCUGCCUAUAUGGGGGCCACCACCUGCCCGUCUCACCCAGAUGUCCCCGUGUCCCACGGGGUCACUGGGAUGCUCAUUCCCCUGGUCCAUUUUGUCCCCCUUGUCCCCAGUCCUCUUUGUCCACUGAGGUCAUGGGGAUACUCAUUCCCCUUGUCCCUUUUGUCCUUCGUGUCCUCUGGUCCCUUGUCCCACGGGGUCAUUGGGAUACUUUUCCCCCGAUCCCAUUUGUCUUCCUUGUCCCCAUGUCCCCUGGCCUCCUGUCCCAUAAGGUCACGGGGAUUCUCAUUCCCCCGGUCUCAUUUGUCCCCAUGUCCGCUGGUCCCUUGUCCCAUGGUGUGGUUGGGAUGCUCGUUCCCCACGAUGUCCCCUUCGUCCCUUUGUCCUUACAUCCCCCGCUCCCUCACUGCGUUUUUCACCCUAUGGAAAACGACUGAUAGCUCCACGUAUUUACAUAUUUAAGAUGUUCCUGCUCUCUCUCACUGUGCAACGCGCCGCUCCCCGGGGCUCCGAGCUGUCCCAGUACCUUUUGGGGACGGUUUCUGUGUUUCCGACGUGAUGUGGUUGGAUGGAGCCGUGGUCAUUCUGCUCUCAUAGCCCUGCCCCCCCGGCCCUGCGCACACACCCCGUCUGUACAGGUCUUAACAAAGCCCUUCUGCAUACAGAUGACAAUGCCUUAUCCCCGACCCCCUCCUCCUCCUGUCACAUCCGAGGGGCCGAGUUCAGCCGGAGCAAUAUUUGUACGAUUUAAUUUCUGCUCGAGAGGCCGGUCGGACUCGUGGCAUUCUGCAGUUUUGGC